Molecule: ribosomal RNA, 454 nt
Filed under: uncultured bacterium
Lineage: Bacteria
Description: bacterial SSU rRNA
Rfam family: Bacterial small subunit ribosomal RNA
Source: RNAcentral
UUUGAUCCUGGGCUCAGAACGAACGCUGGCGGCAUGCCUAACACAUGCAAGUCGAACGAGACCUUCGGGUCUAGUGGCGGACGGGUGAGUAACGCGUGGGAAUCUGCCUUUAGAUGGGGGAUAACGGGUCGAAAGACUCGCUAAUGCCGCAUAUGACGAAAGUUGAAAGGAGUAAUCCGUCUAAAGAUGAGCCCGCGUCCGAUUAGCUAGUUGGUAGAGUAAAAGCCUACCAAGGCGACGAUCGGUAGCUGGUCUGAGAGGAUGAUCAGCCACAAUGGGACUGAGACACGGCCCAUACUCCUACGGGAGGCAGCAGUGGGGAAUUUUACGCAAUGGGCGAAAGCCUGACGUAGCGACACCGCGUGAGCGAAGAAGCCCCUUGGGGUGUAAAGCUCUGUCAGCUGGAACGAAAAAAAUGACGGUACCAGCAGAGGAAGCAUCGGCUAACUACGUG